Molecule: ribosomal RNA, 447 nt
Filed under: uncultured bacterium
Lineage: Bacteria
Description: bacterial SSU rRNA
Rfam family: Bacterial small subunit ribosomal RNA
Source: RNAcentral
GACGAACGCUGGCGGCGUGCUUAACACAUGCAAGUCGAACGGUAAGGCCCUUCGGGGUACACGAGUGGCGAACGGGUGAGUAACACGUGGGUGGUCUGCCCUGCACUUCGGGAUAAGCCUGGGAAACUGGGUCUAAUACCGGAUAGGACUCCUGGCUUCAUGGUUGGGGGUGUAAAGCUUUUGCGGUGUGGGAUGGGCCCGCGGCCUAUCAGCUUGUUGGUGGGGUAAUGGCCUACCCAAGGCGACGACGGGUAGCCGGCCUGAGAGGGUGACCGGCCACACUGGGACUGAGAUACGGCCCAGACUCCUACGGGAGGCAGCAGUGGGGAAUAUUGCACAAUGGGCGCAAGCCUGAUGCAGCGACGCCGCGUGAGGGAUGACGGCCUUCGGGUUGUAAACCUCUUUCAAUAGGACGAAGACGCAAGUGACGGUACCUAUAGAAGAAGG